RNAcentral lists this ribosomal RNA (494 nucleotides) under uncultured bacterium. Its description in RNAcentral is "partial 16S ribosomal RNA". It matches the Rfam family "Bacterial small subunit ribosomal RNA", at positions 28 to 507 of the family's 1533-position model. The record is from RNAcentral.
GACGAACGCUGACGGCGUGCUUAACACAUGCAAGUCGAACGGUGAAGCGCCUUCCUUUUUGGUGGGUGUGGAUGAGUGGCGAACGGGUGAGUAACACGUGAGUAACCUGCCCCCUUCUUCUGGAUAACCGCAUGAAAGUGUGGCUAAUACGGGAUAUUCUGGGUCUGUCGCAUGAUGGGUCUGGGAAAGAUAUUGUUUCGGUGGGGGAUGGGCUCGCGGCCUAUCAGCUUGUUGGUGGGGUGAUGGCCUACCAAGGCGGUGACGGGUAGCCGGCCUGGGAGGGUGGACGGUCACACUGGGACUGAGACACGGCCCAGACUCCUACGGGGGGCAGAAGUGGGGAAUAUUGCACAAUGGGCGCAAGCCUGAUGCAGCGACGCCGCGUGAGGGAUGGAGGCCUUCGGGUUGUGAACCUCUUUCGCCAGUGAAGCAGGCCUGCCCCGUUUGUGGGUGGGUUGACGGUAGCUGGAUAAGAAGCGCCGGCUAACUACGUG